GGGUACCGCUCCCACGCCUCUAGCCGCGCUCGGUAUAAGCGCAGGUUUCAGA
RNAcentral lists this non-coding RNA (52 nucleotides) under unclassified sequences. The record is from RNAcentral.